This is a small nucleolar RNA of Trifolium pratense (red clover), 107 nucleotides long. The record is from RefSeq and is a predicted model, not a curated record. NCBI's taxonomy places the organism in Eukaryota, Viridiplantae, Streptophyta, Magnoliopsida, Fabales, Fabaceae.
AGCCCAUGAUGAGGACAUAUCCUAAUCAUUUCUUUGUAUCUUUCCCAUGCUUCGAAAAGAGACUCGUUGUCUUUUUGUUUAAAUCCAUUAAUUUGCGAUCUUAACAU